This 65-nucleotide transfer RNA is filed under the name Puncturella cf. parvinobilis. RNAcentral's name for it is "tRNA-Lys". Lineage: Eukaryota; Metazoa; Mollusca; Gastropoda; Lepetellida; Fissurellidae. The record is from RNAcentral.
UUUUGAGUGGCUGAGUUUAUAGCGUUAGGCUUUUGAUCUAGUUACGGUAGGUUUACCCUCGACGC